Molecule: ribosomal RNA, 385 nt
Filed under: uncultured bacterium
Lineage: Bacteria
Description: bacterial SSU rRNA
Rfam family: Bacterial small subunit ribosomal RNA
Source: RNAcentral
AUUGAACGCUGGCGGCAUGCCUUACACAUGCAAGUCGAACGGCAGCGCGGGGCAACCUGGCGGCGAGUGGCGAACGGGUGAGUAAUAUAUCGGAACGUGCCCUGGAGUGGGGGAUAACGUAGCGAAAGUUACGCUAAUACCGCAUACGAUCUACGGAUGAAAGUGGGGGAUCGCAAGACCUCAUGCUCGUGGAGCGGCCGAUAUCUGAUUAGCUAGUUGGUAGGUAAAGCCUACCAAGGCAACGAUCUGUAGCUGGUCUGAGAGGACGACCAGCCACACUGGGACUGAGACACGGCCCAGACUCCUACGGGAGGCAGCAGUGGGGAAUUUGGACAAUGGACGCAAGUCUGAUCCAGCCAUGCCGCGUGCGGGAAGAAGGCCUCGG